UAGGCAAGAAAUCCUGGUUGGAACUAAUGUUUGCAUCAGGAAAACAACACAGCUUUCCUGUAAGAAGCCUCAGAAGAUGUAGCACACAGACACUCUGACCUGCUUAUCACACAAGACAGCUGACUUUCAUCUUUCAAGGAGGUUAUGAUGAUCUACCAGAUUACACUCUGGCAUCAAAUUGGAACAUGAAGCUUCACAUCUACAUGGC
Molecule: long non-coding RNA, 208 nt
Filed under: Phasianus colchicus (ring-necked pheasant)
Lineage: Eukaryota; Metazoa; Chordata; Aves; Galliformes; Phasianidae
Description: lncRNA (ENSPCLG00000003020.1)
Source: RNAcentral